Molecule: ribosomal RNA, 468 nt
Filed under: uncultured bacterium
Lineage: Bacteria
Description: partial 16S ribosomal RNA
Rfam family: Bacterial small subunit ribosomal RNA
Source: RNAcentral
GACGAACGCUGGCGGCGUGCUUAACACAUGCAAGUCGAACGGAAAGACCCUGAUUUUGUGGGGUGCACGAGUGGCGAACGGGUGAGUAACACGUGAGUAUCAUGUCCUUGACUUUCGGGUAACUCCAGGAAACUGGGGAUAAUACAGGAUAGGAGCUACUGCUGCAUGGUGGGCGUUGGAGAGAUUCGGCGGUGCGGGAUGGACUCGCGGCUUAUGAGCUUGUUGGUCGGGUAGUGGCUGACAAAGGGUUGGAGGGAUAGCCGGCCUGAGAGGGUGGCCGGGGACCUUGGGACUGCGAGAGGGCGCAGACGGCAACGGGAGGCAGCGGUGGGGAGUAUUGCACAAUGGGCGGAAGUCUGAUGCAGCAACGCCGCGUGCGGGAUGACGGCCUUCGGGUGGUAAACCGCUUUGGCCGGUGACGAAGCGUGAGUGACGGUAAUGGGUAAAGAAGCACCGGCUAACUACGUG